ACCACUAGAAACAGCUCUAAUUUGAGCUCCAAAGCACACUGGGUUAGGAAGAGCAAGAAAUAAAAGACAAUACCACAAUGCCAAAUUCCAUUCUAUAUACAUGGAAGCAUUGGCCUGACUCAACAAACUACAUCCUCCCUGGAAGUUGAAGUCCCUAUAACAGACUUUUCAAUCCUGACACUUAUGAAAAUCACCUCUUUGUCUUUUCACUUUUACCACCCAAUUGAGCAUCCCUGAAGACUGAUUUAGUUUUGCUUAUUUUAUAAUUUUAUAUAAUUGGAAUCAUAGAACAUGCAUUCUUUAUGACUGGCCUCUGUCGCUCAAUGUUGUAUUCAUGAGAUGUAAACAUUGUGAGAUGCAGCUGCCUGCCUCUUUUCACCGUUCUAUAAUAUUCCAUUGUGUAAAUUAACUACUUUCAUCCAUUCUAUUGUUAGAAGACACUUGUGUCUUUCUGGUUUGAGGCAAUUAUGAAUAUUGUGAACUUAAUGAACAUUACUGUACAUCUCUUUUGCUUCAUAAAUAAACAUAAGUCUAGGAGAA
This is a long non-coding RNA of Neofelis nebulosa (Clouded leopard), 540 nucleotides long. RefSeq lists it as uncharacterized. Lineage: Eukaryota; Metazoa; Chordata; Mammalia; Carnivora; Felidae. The record is from RefSeq and is a predicted model, not a curated record. The transcript has 2 exons.